Molecule: ribosomal RNA, 468 nt
Filed under: uncultured bacterium
Lineage: Bacteria
Description: partial 16S ribosomal RNA
Rfam family: Bacterial small subunit ribosomal RNA
Source: RNAcentral
GACGAACGCUGGCGGCGUGCUUAACACAUGCAAGUCGAACGGAAAGGCCCUGCUUUUGUGGGGUACUCGAGUGGCGAACGGGGGAGUAACACGUGAGUAACCUGCCCUUGACUUUGGGAUAACUUCAGGAAACUGGGGCGAAUACCGGAUAGGAGCUCCUGCUGCAUGGUGGGGGUUGGAAAAUUUCGGCGGUUGGGGAUGGACUCGCGGCUUAUCGGCUUGUUGGUGGGGUAGUGGCUUACCAAGGCUUUGACGGGUAGCCGGCCUGAGAGGGUGACCGGCCACAUUGGGACUGAGAUACGGCCCAGACUCCUACGGGAGGCAGCAGUGGGGAAUAUUGCACAAUGGGCGGAAGCCUGAUGCAGCAACGCCGCGUGCGGGAUGACGGCCUUCGGGUUGUAAACCGCUUUCGCCUGUGACGAAGCGUGAGUGACGGUAAUGGGUAAAGAAGCACCGGCUAACUACGUG